GAGUACAACCAAACCUCCGCAAUGAACGGGACCACUCCCUUAUCUAAGAGCCACACCUCUAAGAAUUAAAACACUAACAUAAAAUGAUCCAUGAUCUGAUCAAUGAACCAAGUUACCCUGGGGAUAACAGCGCAAUCCAUUUCAAGAGCCCCUAUCGACAAGUGGGUUUACGACCUCGAUGUUGGAUCAGGGUAUCCUAGUGGUGCAGCAGCUACUAAUGGUUCGUUUGUUCAACGAUUAA
RNAcentral lists this ribosomal RNA (241 nucleotides) under Mantidactylus opiparis. RNAcentral describes it as "partial 16S ribosomal RNA". It matches the Rfam family "Bacterial large subunit ribosomal RNA", at positions 2288 to 2591 of the family's 2925-position model. The record is from RNAcentral. Lineage: Eukaryota; Metazoa; Chordata; Amphibia; Anura; Mantellidae.